GAUGAACGCUGGCGGCGUGCCUAAUACAUGCAAGUCGAGCGAACAGACGAGGAGCUUGCUCCUCUGACGUUAGCGGCGGACGGGUGAGUAACACGUGGAUAACCUACCUAUAAGACUGGGAUAACUUCGGGAAACCGGAGCUAAUACCGGAUAAUAUAUUGAACCGCAUGGUUCAAUAGUGAAAGACGGUUUUGCUGUCACUUAUAGAUGGAUCCGCGCCGCAUUAGCUAGUUGGUAAGGUAACGGCUUACCAAGGCAACGAUGCGUAGCCGACCUGAGAGGGUGAUCGGCCACAUGGGAACUGAGACUCGGUCCAGACUCCUACGGGAGGCAGCAGUAGGGAAUCUUCCGCAAUGGGCGAAAGCCUGACGGAGCAACGCCGCGUGAGUGAUGAAGGUCUUCGGAUCGUAAAACUCUGUUAUUAGGGAAGAACAAAUGUGUAAGUAACUAUGCACGUCUUGACGGUACCUAAUCAGAAAGCCACGGCUAACUACGUG
This 497-nucleotide ribosomal RNA is filed under the name uncultured bacterium. RNAcentral's name for it is "partial 16S ribosomal RNA". It matches the Rfam family "Bacterial small subunit ribosomal RNA", at positions 28 to 507 of the family's 1533-position model. The record is from RNAcentral.